RNAcentral lists this ribosomal RNA (481 nucleotides) under uncultured bacterium. RNAcentral describes it as "bacterial SSU rRNA". It matches the Rfam family "Bacterial small subunit ribosomal RNA", at positions 329 to 803 of the family's 1533-position model. The record is from RNAcentral.
UGGCUAACUCCUACGGGAGGCAGCAGUGGGGAAUAUUGGACAAUGGGCGAAAGCCUGAUCCAGCCAUGCCGCGUGUGUGAAGAAGGUCUUCGGAUUGUAAAGCUCUUUUGUCAGGGAAGAAACGGUAGUAGCUAAUAUCUAUUACUAAUGACGGUACCUGAAGAAUAAGCACCGGCUAACUACGUGCCAGCAGCCGCGGUAAUACGUAGGGUGCAAGCGUUAAUCGGAAUUACUGGGCGUAAAGCGUGCGCAGGCGGUUGUGUAAGUCAGAUGUGAAAUCCCCGGGCUCAACCUGGGAAUUGCAUUUGAGACUGCACGGCUAGAGUGUGUCAGAGGGGGGUAGAAUUCCACGUGUAGCAGUGAAAUGCGUAGAUAUGUGGAGGAAUACCGAUGGCGAAGGCAGCCCCCUGGGAUAACACUGACGCUCAUGCACGAAAGCGUGGGGAGCAAACAGGAUUAGAUACCCCAGUAGUCCAGCUGG